RNAcentral lists this ribosomal RNA (465 nucleotides) under Vreelandella stevensii. RNAcentral's name for it is "partial 16S ribosomal RNA". It matches the Rfam family "Bacterial small subunit ribosomal RNA", at positions 338 to 795 of the family's 1533-position model. The record is from RNAcentral. Lineage: Bacteria; Pseudomonadati; Pseudomonadota; Gammaproteobacteria; Oceanospirillales; Halomonadaceae.
CCUACGGGGGGCAGCAGUGGGGAAUAUUGGACAAUGGGGGGAACCCUGAUCCAGCCAUGCCGCGUGUGUGAAGAAGGCCCUCGGGUUGUAAAGCACUUUCAGUGAGGAAGAACGCCUGGUGGUUAAUACCCAUCAGGAAAGACAUCACUCACAGAAGAAGCACCGGCUAACUCCGUGCCAGCAGCCGCGGUAAUACGGAGGGUGCGAGCGUUAAUCGGAAUUACUGGGCGUAAAGCGCGCGUAGGUGGCUUGAUAAGCCGGUUGUGAAAGCCCCGGGCUCAACCUGGGAACGGCAUCCGGAACUGUCAAGCUAGAGUGCAGGAGAGGAAGGUAGAAUUCCCGGUGUAGCGGUGAAAUGCGUAGAGAUCGGGAGGAAUACCAGUGGCGAAGGCGGCCUUCUGGACUGAAACUGACACUGAGGUGCGAAAGCGUGGGUAGCAAACAGGAUUAGAUACCCUAGUAGUC